Non-coding RNA from Phrynosoma platyrhinos (Desert horned lizard), 72 nucleotides. The record is from the annotation of a GenBank genome assembly. Lineage: Eukaryota; Metazoa; Chordata; Lepidosauria; Squamata; Phrynosomatidae.
GCAACUGUGUCAUAGUGAUUUGAGUGUUGGACUGCAGCUCUGGAGAUCAGGGUUCGAUUCCCUGCUGGGCCU